UGAAUUAAAUUAAAUAAUAAUUUAGAUUGAAUGGAAUUAAUUUUAUUGAAUGUUUUAGAUUGAAUCGGAUCAUAAAAAAUUUAGGAGAUUGUUAAGACCAAAUUAUCCUUAAUGAUUUUGAAUAGCAAAGAACAAAAUCCAGAAUUGAAAUCAAAAUUGAGGUCAAAUUAGACAAAAAUUUCAUUUUGUACUUCCCUUUUAAUAAUAAGGGGAUAAACUGGAUUAAGUUUACACACUUG
RNAcentral lists this small RNA (239 nucleotides) under Arabidopsis thaliana (thale cress). RNAcentral's name for it is "ATSL208300". The record is from RNAcentral. Lineage: Eukaryota; Viridiplantae; Streptophyta; Magnoliopsida; Brassicales; Brassicaceae.